Molecule: long non-coding RNA, 528 nt
Organism: Lolium rigidum
Lineage: Eukaryota; Viridiplantae; Streptophyta; Magnoliopsida; Poales; Poaceae
Exons: 3
Source: RefSeq, a predicted model, not a curated record
UGUUUUGAACCCGACCCUGAUUAAAAAAUCUGGUCCAAAAUUAUGUGGUGUACAAUAUCUCAAUUUUUUUUGUGAAAUAUGGUGCUUAAAUCGUCAAUGAGGCCGACCUGGUCGACGGUGUGAUUUGGCUGGCCGCGUGGACCGCCGGUCAAGGAGAUGUGGCGUCCUUGCCAGCCUCGUCAUGGCCGCUCAUCAAGUCGACGGCGGCUGCUCCCACGGUACCCUGUCAAUUAUGCAUUUUAUAAGGGAUAUUGCAUUCCCUAAAAAGGAUGGGUAGCUCAUCAGUCUUUUUCUGAGAGUAGUUUGGUUGAACUACUGAGUACUGUCAAAGAUUAUGCAAGACCCUGAAGCCAUUGAUGACAGAAGCAUGAAAGGCUGACUAGGUUGCAUGUGUGGUUACAGGAAAAUGAAGCGACCUCUGCAUCAGUUUGUGAACUAAGCAAGAGAUGUGCGGAGAUCAAGUGUAACAGUUCAAGGAUGAGGACGGCCGGCUCGUUCAGGGGAGGACGGUGAGCUCGUUCGGGGGAG